UCUAACAUCCUAGUGCAUCUCUCCUCCGGCAAGAAGUUCCAACUUUCCCUCCAAAGACCAAACCAAAACUCUUCCCAUUCCUCUGUUAGCUUUCUCAACGUAUAGCCGUCUCACAGAGAGAGAGAGAGAGAGAGAGAGUUCCACCUAUGUCGAGCCACAAAGACGACCUCGAUCUCCUUCUGUCCCUCAGAGAGAGAGUUUUGGAUACCCCUCCAGGUUCUCCUUCACCCUAUUCACCAGACUUUUCAGGAUAUCUCUCGGAGGAUAGAUCGCCGAGGCAAAGUGAGAAGUCGGACGUGUCCGUCUUUAGAGACGCCGUGCGAGACUUCCUUGACUACGAGUACAAGCCGGUUCAGAAAGCUGGUAAAUUGAAGGGCUCGAAGGCCUCCAACUAUACUGAGGUUGAGAAAUUUUUGGGCUUGCGAAUAAGGAACCGCUUGGUCAGUGCAGCAGAGCUCGGUGUGCUGUUUUCAGAUGUUUGUUUCGUUCAGUUAUCAACUAUGAAGAACUUCUUGGUAGGGGACACUCUGCCGGGUUGUUGGGCAACUGUUGGAGUGUUGACCGAGAAGGGGACUUCAAAGACCAGUUCUACAGGAAAGAACUAUUGUAUAUGGAAGGUGGGAUGUCUAGAUGAAAAUACCGUUUCUCUUUUCUUGUUCGGUUACGCUUAUCAGAAGAACUGGAAAGAGCAGGCUGGAACAGUCUUUGCAUUGUUCAAUUGUGCUGUACGCAAGGAUGCAGUGGGUACAGGGUUUUCUCUGAGUGUGUAUUCUCCUACUCAAAUUUUAAAGAUUGGAACUGCAGUUGAUUAUGGAGUUUGUAAGGGAAAAAGGAAGGACGGAUGCCUUGUACAAUAGGCAUAAAUAAGUAGGUUAUGGGUACUCCUUGGAUUUCUUAGUAUUAUGGAAUGAACUGCUCACGACAUUCACUGUCAGUAAUUGAGUUUGAAAUAAAUCUAGUUGUGUGAAAUCAUAAGUGUGUCAUCUGCCAUGAUGAGUUGGUUCUAGAAUAGCCUUUCUCAAGUACUUGUCAACCAGUAAAACAUAGGGAUAGCAUUGGACCUACAACUAACAAGAUUAGAUAAAUACAAACUGAAAUCCACCACCACCGGAAAGGAGAGUUUCCCAUGAGCUCCUUGGAUAUCCGCUCUGUGGUUACUUUUCACAGAACCAUUGCUGAAAUUAGUCUUAAUGAUAAAUUUACUGGUUUGCAGUUUUCUGGGUAUAUCGGGUGAAAAUUGAAAUGCAAAAAACCAUUGAUCUGAUAUUCUGUAGCAUUAGCACAAUUACUUUUAGUUGAUAGGUCAAGUAAUGAGAAACACAAUAGGUCAAGUAAUGAGAGCAUGUGUUUGUGAGUAGCAUCUUCUGGUCUGCACUCGAAGGAUUGUGUGGUGAGCAUAUGGGUGGAAAAUGAACCAAAGGAAGCACUUUUGUAACUUUUCAUCAGAGGUCCUCGGUCAAAAUUUCAUGAAGGUAGGUCAUGGCAUUUUUAUAAUGUGCAUCUAUCAAACUCACCAUCUCAUUGUAUGGCAACUUGAUCAUUCGUCUUCCCAUUAGCAGCUGACCCAUAAUUCCAUUAUCGAUGUUGUGUGUAUUUUUGUAGCAUGAUAUUUCUUCUUAUCCACUGACCCACGAAAUUUUUUGAUAUCUCGAGUCUUCAUGGUAUUUCAGGCUCAGUGGAAUAUGUUGUAAAUAUCAUACAUUGAAAGCUUCAGAGAAAUGUGUCAGAAAUCGAGCUGAGCUCAAGGGAGGGUAGGUGAUUAGUGUGUAGUGUCAUACAACUCUUCAGGCCAUUAUCUACUAAUUGAACCUAGGAGCUGCAUUUAGGGAUUCCCUCACUCCGGAAGGGAUUUGCAUGGUUGAUUCUUUAGAAGACAGGAUAAAAUU
This is an RNA transcript of Juglans microcarpa x Juglans regia, 1886 nucleotides long. RefSeq lists it as uncharacterized. NCBI's taxonomy places the organism in Eukaryota, Viridiplantae, Streptophyta, Magnoliopsida, Fagales, Juglandaceae. The transcript has 7 exons. The record is from RefSeq and is a predicted model, not a curated record.